GAUCCUGGCUCAGGAUGAACGCUGGCGGCGUGCUUAACACAUGCAAGUCGAACGGGAAACAUUUCAUUGAAGCUUCGGCAGAUUUGGUCUGUUUCUAGUGGCGGACGGGUGAGUAACGCGUGGGUAACCUGCCUUAUACUGGGGGAUAACAGCCAGAAAUGGCUGCUAAUACCGCAUAAGCGCACAGGACCGCAUGGUCCGGUGUGAAAAACUCCGGUGGUAUAAGAUGGACCCGCGUUGGAUUAG
This 246-nucleotide ribosomal RNA is filed under the name uncultured bacterium. RNAcentral describes it as "partial 16S ribosomal RNA". It matches the Rfam family "Bacterial small subunit ribosomal RNA", at positions 15 to 244 of the family's 1533-position model. The record is from RNAcentral.